ACGCUGGCGGCAGGCCUAACACAUGCAAGUCGAACGAGUAAGAGCCGUAGCAAUACGGAGUUCUGCUAGUGGCGCACGGGUGAGUAACGCGUGGGAACGUGCCUUGGAGUUCGGGAUAACAGUUGGAAACGACUGCUAAUACCGAAUAUUCCCUCAGGGGGGAAAGAUUUAUCGCUCCAAGAUCGGCCCGCGUAAGAUUAGGUAGUUGGUGGGGUAAUGGCCUACCAAGCCUACGAUCUUUAGCUGGUCUGAGAGGACGACCAGCCACACUGGAACUGAGACACGGUCCAGACUCCUACGGGAGGCAGCAGUGGGGAAUAUUGGACAAUGGGCGAAAGCCUGAUCCAGCCAUGCCGCGUGAAUGAUGAAGGCCUUAGGGUUGUAAAAUUCUUUUGCAGGGGAAGAUAAUGACGGUACCCUGCGAAUAAGCUCCGGCUAACUUCGUG
RNAcentral lists this ribosomal RNA (446 nucleotides) under uncultured bacterium. RNAcentral's name for it is "bacterial SSU rRNA". It matches the Rfam family "Bacterial small subunit ribosomal RNA", at positions 33 to 507 of the family's 1533-position model. The record is from RNAcentral.